RNAcentral lists this ribosomal RNA (609 nucleotides) under uncultured bacterium. RNAcentral describes it as "bacterial SSU rRNA". It matches the Rfam family "Bacterial small subunit ribosomal RNA", at positions 36 to 677 of the family's 1533-position model. The record is from RNAcentral.
CUGGCGGCAUGCCUAAUACAUGCAAGUCGAACGAGAAAGUGGAGCAAUCCAUGAGUAAAGUGGCGACCGGGUGAGUAACACGUGACUAACCUACCUUCGAGUGGGGAAUAACCUCGGGAAACCGGGGCUAAUACCGCAUAAUGUCUUCGGACCAAAGGAGCAAUUCGCUUGAAGAGGGGGUCGCGGCCGAUUAGCUAGUUGGUGGGGUAACGGCCCACCAAGGCAAUGAUCGGUAGCCGGCCUGAGAGGGCGCACGGCCACACUGGAACUGAAACACGGUCCAGACUCCUACGGGAGGCAGCAGUGGGGAAUUUUGCGCAAUGGGAGAAACCCUGACGCAGCAACGCCGCGUGGAGGAUGAAGCCCCUUGGGGUGUAAACUCCUUUCGAUCGGGACGAUUAUGACGGUACCGGAUGAAGAAGCACCGGCUAACUCUGUGCCAGCAGCCGCGGUAAUACAGAGGGUGCAAGCGUUGUUCGGAAUUAUUGGGCGUAAAGGGUGCGUAGGCGGUGCGGUAAGUCUCUUGUGAAAUCUCCGGGCUCAACUCGGAGCCUGCAAGGGAAACUGCCGUGCUGGAGUAUGGGAGAGGUGAGUGGAAUUCCCGGUGUA